Triticum aestivum (bread wheat) is the source of this 135-nucleotide non-coding RNA. Lineage: Eukaryota; Viridiplantae; Streptophyta; Magnoliopsida; Poales; Poaceae. The record is from Rfam.
AAAAUACUUCCUCCAUCCGGAAAUACUUGUCACCAAAAUGAAUAAAAUGAGAUGUAUCUAGAUGUAUUUUAGUUCUGGAUAUAUCCUAUUGUAUCCAUUUUGAUGACAAGUAUUUUCGGACGGAAGGAGUAAAUC